ACUUCGGGGCAGGGUGAAAUUCCCGACCGGCGGUAUAUGUUUGACAUGAGCCCGCGAGCCGUAAGGCAUGAUCCGGUGAGAAUCCGGAGCCGACAGUAGAGUCUGGAUGAAAGAAG
This 116-nucleotide non-coding RNA is filed under the name human gut metagenome. Its description in RNAcentral is "FMN riboswitch (RFN element)". It matches the Rfam family "FMN riboswitch aptamer (RFN element)". From Rfam's summary of the family: The RFN element is a highly conserved domain that is found frequently in the 5'-untranslated regions of prokaryotic mRNAs that encode for flavin mononucleotide (FMN) biosynthesis and transport proteins. The record is from RNAcentral.